GGAAGGAUCAUUACCCAAGUGUAACCUGAGAUGGGGGGCUUGUGUGGCUUUGCUGCUCACUAGCCUCGUCUGAAUAUCUCUCACCCCAUGUCUAUGUGUACUACAUGUUUCCUUGAUAGGCUUGCCUAUCACUAGGACCUUAAAAACUCUUUGCAGUAGCAGUUUGCAUCUGAUAGAAACAAUAAUUACAACUUUCAACAACGGAUCUCUUGGUUCUGGCAUCGAUGAAGAACGCAGCGAAAUGCGAUAAGUAGUGUGAAUUGCAGAAUUCAGUGAAUCAUCGAAUCUUUGAACGCACAUUGCGCCCCUUGGUACUCCAUGGGGCAUGCCUGUUCGAGCGUCAUUUGCACCCUCAAGCACUGCUUGGUGUUGGGCGAUUUGUCCUGCGGUUUGUGCAGGACUCGCCUUAAAGCAAUUGGCAGCCGGCAGUUUGGCCUAGAAGCGCAGCACAAUACGCGCCUCUAUAGCCCAUCUGGCGGCAUCCAUAAGCCUAAAUUUUUUUUUAGCUUGACCUCGGAUCAGGUAGGGAUACCCGCUGAACUUAAGCAUAUC
This 552-nucleotide ribosomal RNA is filed under the name Pleosporales sp. 2 PV-2016. RNAcentral describes it as "eukaryotic LSU rRNA". The stretch from base 190 to 343 matches the Rfam family "5.8S ribosomal RNA". Lineage: Eukaryota; Fungi; Ascomycota; Dothideomycetes; Pleosporales. The record is from RNAcentral.